AAAUAGAACUUUGCAGAGAGAGUUAACAGGGCGUGAAACCGUUAAUUGGCAAACGAAUCGGAGCCACGAAGUCGUUUCGCUGAUAAGCUGGGCCGGGUUCAGGCCGCGAGACAUCUCGCGGCUGUACUUCCGCAGUCCAGCCUAACAUUGUAAACGUACACUGCAACCAGUUAGACAAUUGGCGAUGGAACCAGCGCUAAUUGGCGUCAGUAGUAGCGGGCGGGCGCUUGCGCCUUGCGCGUUGCUGGACGUCAGCUAGAGGACUAUCGCCAAAUACUGACUGGCAAAAUGAAAACCGCUUCGGCGUUUCACAAAACGCGGCUAACCGCACAAGUGUCUACGCGCUGGACCAUGGAGUCUAAGCUCAGCAUUUUUAAAUUCAAACUUGCUUGCUACCAGUGGGGCAACUCCUGGUGCUUGUACUGCUUUGUCUAAUUGGGUGUUGACUUGGCUGUGUGUCGUUCUAGCGCGCAACGAUUGGGCGCUUGUGCGAGCUAGUCCGCCAUUGAUUGGCAGUGAGUAGGUCGGCUUUCCGAACGACCCGUCUUGAAACACGGACCAAGGAGUCUAAUUAGGCAUCAAGUCGAUCGGUCUUGAAUAGGCCAGACUGGAGUUCUCACUCCGAUUGAAGGCGAAGAGACAUGUGAUCGUAGCACAAAACUAACCGCGCGCAACAUGUGCCUGUUCGUAUAGCAAUGUGCAAGAUGCUGGGCGGAGCAAAGAGAUGCCUGAUUGGUACCCGAAAGAUGGUGAUGCCUGGGCAAAUUGAAGCCAGAGGAAACUCUGGUGGAGGAUUGUAGCGAUUCUGACGUGCAAAUCGAUCGUCAGACCUGGGUAUAGGGGCGAAAGACUAAUCGAACCAUC
This 864-nucleotide ribosomal RNA is filed under the name Jutarus sp. GD117 2. RNAcentral's name for it is "partial large subunit ribosomal RNA". It matches the Rfam family "Eukaryotic large subunit ribosomal RNA", at positions 366 to 944 of the family's 3401-position model. Lineage: Eukaryota; Metazoa; Arthropoda; Arachnida; Trombidiformes; Eriophyidae. The record is from RNAcentral.